AUUGAACGCUGGCGGCAUGCCUUACACAUGCAAGUCGAACGGUAACAGGUCUUCGGAUGCUGACGAGUGGCGAACGGGUGAGUAAUACAUCGGAACGUGCCUAGUAGUGGGGGAUAACUACUCGAAAGAGUGGCUAAUACCGCAUGAGAUCUACGGAUGAAAGCAGGGGAUCGCAAGACCUUGUGCUACUAGAGCGGCCGAUGGCAGAUUAGGUAGUUGGUGGGAUAAAAGCUUACCAAGCCUACUAUCUGUAACUGGUCUGAGAGGACGAUCAGCCACACUGGGACUGAGACACGGCCCAGACUCCUACGGGAGGCAGCAGUGGGGAAUUUUGGACAAUGGGCGCAAGCCUGAUCCAGCAAUGCCGCGUGCAGGAUGAAGGCCUUCGGGUUGUAAACUGCUUUUGUACGGAACGAAAAGCCCCGGGUUAAUACCCUGGGGUCAUGACGGUACCGUAAGAAUAAGCACCGGCUAACUACGUGCCAGCCGCCGCGGUAA
Molecule: ribosomal RNA, 498 nt
Filed under: uncultured bacterium
Lineage: Bacteria
Description: partial 16S ribosomal RNA
Rfam family: Bacterial small subunit ribosomal RNA
Source: RNAcentral